AUUUUGCUUUAUUAAAAUUCCUUAGUUUAAUUUUCUUCACCAACUCUUCCUUUUUAAAUAUUUUAUUUUUUUAAAAGAAAAACAACUGUACCCCAAUCCCUGUGGAUCGAUACCCGUAAUCACUAUCCUACCAGAUACGUGCUAUUGCGUGGUCUUUAAAGUUGACUAUCAAUUUUUGGCGCCGUUGCCGGGGAUUGUUAGUAUAGUUGUUUUUCUUUUCAU
Molecule: long non-coding RNA, 222 nt
Filed under: Phoenix dactylifera (date palm)
Lineage: Eukaryota; Viridiplantae; Streptophyta; Magnoliopsida; Arecales; Arecaceae
Description: long non-coding RNA (PDAC_LNC018920)
Source: RNAcentral